Molecule: non-coding RNA, 205 nt
Organism: Pelobates cultripes (western spadefoot toad)
Lineage: Eukaryota; Metazoa; Chordata; Amphibia; Anura; Pelobatidae
Source: the annotation of a GenBank genome assembly
CUAAAAUUAGCUCGGAUAUGGCACAAGAGCAAUGUCUCAUGGCACAUUGGGAAGAUUAAAUGUGUAGAUCAGGGGCAGUACUUAAAAUAGUAUUUUUUCUACAAAGCUAAAUGUCCCCUGAAGAAUAUGCAUUAUACAGCAUGCAUUAGAUCUGAAUCUUUAAAGAACUUAGAUGAUUUAGCUUUAAGUGUGCCUUGCCUUUUUG